UGGCGGCAGGCCUAACACAUGCAAGUCGAGCGCUCUCUUCGGAGGGAGCGGCGGACGGGUUAGUAACGCGUGGGAACGUGCCCUUCUCUAAGGAAUAGCCACUGGAAACGGUGAGUAAUACCUUAUACGCCCUUCGGGGGAAAGAUUUAUCGGAGAAGGAUCGGCCCGCGUUAGAUUAGAUAGUUGGUGGGGUAACGGCCUACCAAGUCUACGAUCUAUAGCUGGUUUUAGAGGAUGAUCAGCAACACUGGGACUGAGACACGGCCCAGACUCCUACGGGAGGCAGCAGUGGGGAAUCUUGGACAAUGGGCGCAAGCCUGAUCCAGCCAUGCCGCGUGAGUGAUGAAGGCCUUAGGGUCGUAAAGCUCUUUCGCCUGUGAAGAUAAUGACUGUAGCAGGUAAAGAAACCCCGGCUAACUCCGUGCCAACAGCCGCGGUAAUACGGAGGGGGUUAGCGUUGUUCGGAAUUACUGGGCGUAAAGCGCGCGUAGGCGGACUGGAAAGUUGGGGGUGAAAUCCCAGGGCUCAACCCUGGAACUGCCUCCAAAACUAUCAGUCUAGAGUUCGAGAGAGGUGAGUGGAAUUCCGAGUGUAGAGGUGAAAUUCGUAGAUAUUCGGAGGAACACCAGUGGCGAAAGGCGGCUCACUGGCUCGAUACUGACGCCUGAAGGUGCGAAAGUGUGGGGAGCCAAACAGGAUUAGAUACCCUGGUGGUCCACACCCGUAAACGAUGAAAUGCCANUUCGUCGGGUAANCAUGCUUAUUCGGG
This 769-nucleotide ribosomal RNA is filed under the name marine alpha proteobacterium BBFL1. RNAcentral's name for it is "bacterial SSU rRNA". It matches the Rfam family "Bacterial small subunit ribosomal RNA", at positions 37 to 844 of the family's 1533-position model. The record is from RNAcentral. Lineage: Bacteria; Pseudomonadati; Pseudomonadota; Alphaproteobacteria.